This 350-nucleotide transfer-messenger RNA is filed under the name bacterium. RNAcentral's name for it is "JACQOX01 sp016202335 Standard tmRNA". It matches the Rfam family "transfer-messenger RNA". From Rfam's summary of the family: Bacterial tmRNA, also known as 10Sa RNA or SsrA, is named for its dual tRNA and mRNA-like properties. Its role is to liberate the mRNA from a stalled ribosome. To accomplish this part of the tmRNA is used as a reading frame that ends in a translation stop signal. RNAcentral also lists the same sequence under 1 other name. The record is from RNAcentral.
GGGGACGAAAUAGAUUUCGACGAAGACACACGAAGCCUUUCCUGCAUGCCGACCACGUCAGAGCGUCGUUAAACCUAUGGCACGUCUAUAAACGACAACUUCGAAUACCAAAUGGCAGCUUAAACGCUUGCCACGUCAACCGGCGAACACCUGCUACGCUGGAAGACGCCAUCAGCAGGUUGCUGACUUCAAGCCCUCCUUAGCGCGAAGUCAUAAGCCCAGUAAGGAUAGUCUUCAGGAUCGCCCGUCCGUGGGCAUGCCUGAAGGCAAAAUCAAAUUCGCGGAAUGAGCAUGGAGAUGGGAAGUGGACGGGUUUUCGGACGAGGGUGCAAUUCCCUCCGUCUCCACAA